Non-coding RNA from Pelobates cultripes (western spadefoot toad), 215 nucleotides. The record is from the annotation of a GenBank genome assembly. NCBI's taxonomy places the organism in Eukaryota, Metazoa, Chordata, Amphibia, Anura, Pelobatidae.
CCAUGAAAGAAUGGAUCACAAAUCACCGGAAUAAUGGCUUCUCAGUCUCUACAAAAAUGAUAAUAUAUGAAGCCAAACGCAUUGCUGUAGAGAAAGGCAUUCACGAUUUUAUUGGAUCACCAUCGUGGUGCUACAGAUUUAUGAAGCGAUGUGGCCUUGCUAUGCGCACCAAAACUAGAAUUGCGCAAAAAAUGCCAAAAGAAUAUGAAUCUAAG